GAACUUAUAUUGUUGGGGGCAUAGCAUAAGAAAGCAAAAAUACAGUACUGCAACCAGAAAGAAUGGAAAGUUUCGUCUAUGACAAGUUGGUAAGGCUACCCACAAAUAUCGACAUCUUUAGGGAAACACACACGUGCUGGAAAGUUGAAUCCGCAUCUUAAAGUUCAGAAACAAAAAGCCACUGACACUGACAUUUUUCAACACAAGCAUGGCAAAAGCGCGUCAACAGCAUCAGACAAACGUGGUAGUAUCAAAUUAAACAAAAUAAAACACAGAAUAUAUAGCAAGUUAAAAAGGCAUUACAAAAGGUGAAGCGUUGAGAGCAUAAACAAAUGAUGGGGAAACUCACUAAUAGAAUCCUUCAAGAUCUCCUUCUUGGGG
Molecule: long non-coding RNA, 381 nt
Filed under: Eucalyptus grandis
Lineage: Eukaryota; Viridiplantae; Streptophyta; Magnoliopsida; Myrtales; Myrtaceae
Description: long non-coding RNA (EGRA_LNC007130)
Source: RNAcentral